Mangifera indica (mango) is the source of this 924-nucleotide long non-coding RNA. RefSeq lists it as uncharacterized. Lineage: Eukaryota; Viridiplantae; Streptophyta; Magnoliopsida; Sapindales; Anacardiaceae. The transcript has 5 exons. The record is from RefSeq and is a predicted model, not a curated record.
CCUUGAAUACAUAUACCACCAUUCUUAUUACCUCGUCGUCAUAAAUUCUUUGGAUAUCUGGAAAAACUUUGUCCUUCCAUUCACAUUUCAAGUUGCCUUCUUCACUGGCCAUUUUACUAAAAUUUAACUGCCUCUUGAAGACUCUUCUGAGGUAUUUCAUCAAACAUUUUGUCUACUCUAUUUUAUUUUUAUUUCACCAUAAAUUUCAAUUCUCUUGAUCUGAUAAACCCUAACUUGUCCAUUUGAUGAUGCUGCUGAGUUGUACGCUAAAUCUGCCAAACAUUUCAAACUUGCCAAAUCCUGAGACCGAGCUAGAACACUUAGGUAGAAUCGGCAUUGCUGCGAGAUAUUGCAAGGAUUUUGGUGAGUUAUAUGAACUUGAGGAGAAUGAUGAGAAGGCUACUCUAUUCUUUGAACAGGCGUCUGAAUAUUUUGAAAAUGCAGAAGCAACAACCUCAGCCAAAUAGUGCAAACUGAAAGUUGCUCAAUUUUCUACUCAACAAGAACGUAGCGACGACUUUGCUGCAUUUCUUGAGGCAGAGCUAGAAGCUACUUCAGCUGAAUCAUCACUAGAUGAAGUGGCUGAAGAUGAAAACUAUAAAAUGAGGAAGCAAGGGAUGAAGAACCUAAGGAUGAAGAAGCCAAGGAUAAGGAGGUUGCAGAUGAUAAUGACCUUAAUGGCGAGAGAUGAGUAAAACAUGUUGUGUUUUUGUCGGUCGAGCUCCAGGUUUAUUUUCUACUUGGGAACAAUGUAAAGCAUAAGUUCACAGGUAUUCGGAUGCUGUUCCUUGUGCUUUUAAGGCAGAAAAUAAUGCUCAAGCUGCUUUCAUUACUUUCUGCGAAGAAAGUAAAUAGUGUAAAGAAGUAAACAAUCUUUGUGCACAUUUUCUUAAAUAAUGUUUUGAUGUAACAAGUUGCUAUAUA